UUGAUGAUACAAAAUUGACUGUAUUAGGAAACAAAAAGAUGAACAAAUAAGAUAUCCAUAAGCAAGGAUUUGAAGAACCAAUGCAUAUCGGUCUCCACUGAGAUGUCAGUAUACUACCCCACCAUCUGAUCCAUCCAUACUGAACCAGCAAAACGCUGAUACUGGUAUUACUACCAGUACUUUAAAGUUUAAGCCUUGUUGAUAAAAGAAUACUACAUACCUCGAUUUGUUGGAGUUUGGCUUGAAAGAGUUUUUCUCUGUCUUCCUCCUAGAAAAAGAUAAUAACUUAAGUUCAUAUAUUGUAAUAUAUGGCUAUUACAUAAUAGAUAAAAAUAAAUAUAUUUCAUCUUAUAUCGGAUAAAAGACUUCGGAAGUCCUGCCUUGAGACUUUGUCGAUCAGGAGCAGGGUGAGCAAGAACGAAGACACGGUCAAUAAGAACCACCACGGGUUCUUUGCCAAGGCUUUUCCAGGGAACCUACAUGCAAAAUUUUAGAAUUGAAAUCCGGUAAGCUGAAAUAAACUGAAUAUUUUCAAGCAUGCAAAGAUAACUACUAAAGUGCAUAAAAGCAAAUAACAUCAGCAUUAGAAAGACCAAGAAAAAAUUGCAAAUGUAAUAAUAUGUGCACUCAAACCAAAAACAUUAUUUCGUCAAUUAAAUAAUGUUAUUUUCAAACAAUUAGAGAUCCAUCAUAAUGGGCAACAAGAAGAUAUGGUACCGGGCGUACUGGUACCAGUGCUGGUGGCGUACCGACACUCGAUACCCAGACAUACCGCGUACCAUACCGUACCGAUACUAUGAUAGUGUGGUACCAAUACGGGGUUCAGUACCAGUACGGCGAACUUUGGUUUAGAUACAACUGAAAAAUACAUAUGACUAAAGUGUUACAGACACUCAAACAAACAUGAAUUACUUACUAUAAAAAUAUCAACACAAAAAAUGACUGUUAUUAAACAGCCACAAAAUUCACUAGUAUUUCGCAAUGUGGAACAAUAUUACAGGCAAGGUCUGUUAAACCAGCCCGAACCGGCCGGUUCAGCACAUAUUGUACCGGUACCAGCCCCUAUCGGUAUGAUUCGGCAUACGAUGGAGACAGCCCAAAGCAUCACCAUAUAUAUUUAUAACCAUACCUAAGUCCUUUCACUGAUGAGGAGGUUUGCAUUGGAAGAGAUUUUGAGAUCAGGAGUCACACGGUUUGCUACCAACUAUAUUGUACUUGAUAGCCUUCUCGAUAAGAAAGCAAUCCUACAUCAGAUGUUUGUCAGUGCCGACUGGCAGAAAAUUAAAUAUGCCCAGCACGGUCCCAAAAAGAGCAGGAUCGAAAACUUGAUGACAAGACAAACAUUCUGGCAGUGGGCCACUGCGAUAGUGAAAGCUAUCAAACUAUUAUAUGAAGUACUGCGGGCCGUGGAUAGCGAGAGAUACCCCUAGAUGGGCUUCCUAUAUCACAUGAUAUAGAGGACAAAGGCUCAAAUCAUGGAGGAAAAUCUAGCCCAUGCCCAGAAGUAUAUCGACAUCAUUAAGCGGCGGUAGAACAAUCAAAUGGGUAGAGACUUGCAUCUAGCAGUAAGCAAGAAUAUUGAAAAUUAGACUGCUCCUGUAUUUGUAUAAUUUUACUAAGACCAUCUGCUCUAUGUGUAGCAUACUAUCUGAACCUCCGAUUUCAGUACAACGUACCUGAAAUUGGUAUGGAUGACGAACUUCUGGCGGCUCUGCGUAAUGUCAUUUACAAGAUAGAGUCUAAUCCAGAAAUUGCAGCCUUAUAUCUAGAAGAGAUAACAAAACUUUAGUGGCAUAUGUAAGUAUACCGAUAUCUUCUAUUAUUAAUAUAGUACAACCCAGUUCUUUUUUGUAGAUCAAAUUAUUUAGAGAGGGCAGCCACAGCUUUGGGCUUUCAAAAGAAAGUGGAGCUCAAGUAUGCAGAUCUUAUCCAUAGGGCUUUCGUCAAUGUUGACGAUGAUCCUAUGAUCGGCUAGCUUGUGAGCCAGCAGCAGAAGCCAAAGCUUGACGAGCCAAGAUCGCCUCCAUGACCAGCCAGCUUCAUAGCCAACAAGGCUAGAGUCAAUGCAGAGCAAUAGACUGAAAACAAUAUUUCAUGUCUUCCCACAACUAAUCAGCCGCAGCCAUAAGAGAGCCAGUCACCUACUUUUUUUCUCGUUUGAGAUAUCCUCUCAAAGAGAUGAUCAAGAGAUGCUCAAAUGAAGACACUACGGUACCUGGUCGACUUGGUCAGAAGGGCGACAUAGCCAGAUAGAAAGGGGUAUGAAGAAUAAGAAGGCAGCUGCCUAGCAAACUAAAAAAGAAAAAUAAAAAGCACCAAUGGAGAGUAUCGAGAAGUCCGAGAGCAGCAAUAAUGACGGUUCUAGUGGUCAUGGAUCUGCUAGCUAUAGAGAAAGUGGACAGAAGACCACUGCUUAUGAGACACAGCCAGAGACUGAUCUUUAAUACACUGCAUGCUACACAGAAUAGGAACCACGAUACACGAUCUGGUAGAGCCCGCAAGGAUACAAUUACAUAUAAGAAACGGACUUUUCGAGGUCAUUCAGGAUAUGAUGCAAUUGCAGAAGACCUCGCACGUAGAGUAGAAUCCAUAGAUAUAUUAGGUUUGGAGUCGUAUAUUAUAUCCUAUUAUCCGCAGCCACAAUCUAUGACCCAUAUGGAUACGGAUAUAGAUAUGGUGCAUCUGAGGCAUCUUCUGGCGGCUACUAUCCUACGCAGCUCGAAGCAUCUCACGGGUCGAAUUUUGCUGCUAGCAUAUUCGGAUGGGCUCCUUCACAGCAGUAUUAUCAGUCAGAGAACACCUCUCGGAGCUAAAGCUUCAGCAAGAGAUCCGAAAGUUCUUGUAACCCGGCACGCGUUCCUUAUGGAUUGAGCAUACAAGACUACAACGUCGCUUAGUUAGAGGGGUGGGUUGAUCUACCUCUUUGUUAUGCUGAUGAUCCAAUCUACAAGAGGCAUCGCACUAGACCCGAUUUUAGAUAUCCGACAAUGCUUUAAAAGUAUAAAAUUGAUUGUAUCUUGAUUUGAAAGUAUUUUAUAUUAUUCAUUUUAUGAUUUGUAUCAUUUUAAAAUCAAUAAGAUGCAUCAUCUAGCUUAAACCGAGAUCAUAGAAACAUCAGAAAACAUUAAUAAAACAUUAAAUUAUACUUAAAUUUAUAAAAAAAUAAAAAGAGAACUCCCAAAAAAUUAAAAAAUAGGGGCCAAGAAUUGCCGAACUAGGCCAACCGGUUCGGUUCGGUUCGGUUGAAGGCGCACCUACUGUUACUAGAAGUCUAGUCAUGCCGACAUCGAUUCAUCUCAAUCUUUAAGGAAGAGAUCGACGAUCCCAAGUUCUUUUACUCGGUACCAAACCGGACUGGGCACCGACCGGACUGGGCGCCGACCGAAAUGGUAGCCGAUACCGGUUUGGUAAUCCUUAGCACCAACCCUUUACCAAGAACUUCGAUUUGUUGGAGUUUGGCUUGAAAGAGUUUUUUCUCUGUCUUCCUCCUUGAGACUUUGUCGAUCAGGAGCAGGGUGAGCAAGAACGAAGACACGGUCAAUAAGAACCACCACGGGUUCUUUGCCAAGGCUUUUCCAGGGA
Molecule: long non-coding RNA, 3582 nt
Filed under: Phoenix dactylifera (date palm)
Lineage: Eukaryota; Viridiplantae; Streptophyta; Magnoliopsida; Arecales; Arecaceae
Description: long non-coding RNA (PDAC_LNC005913)
Source: RNAcentral